ACGAGGAUAACCUCGGGAAACUGAGAAUAAUACUCGAUAGAUCAUUAUGCCUGGAACGGUUUAUGGUUCAAAUGAAUUUCGCCAUAGGAUGGGACUGCGGUCUAUCAGCUUGUUGGUGAGGUAAUGGCCCACCAAGGCUAUUACAGAUACGGGCUCUGAGAGGAGAAGCCCGGAGAUGGGUACUGAGACACGGACCCAGGCCCUAUGGGGCGCAGCAGGCGAGAAAACUUUGCAAUGUGCGAAAGCACGACAAGGUUAAUCCGAGUGAUUCCUGCUAAAGGAAUCUUUUGUUAGUCAUAAUACCACUAAUGAAUAAGGGGUGGGCAAGUUCUGGUGUCAGCCGCCGCGGUAAAACCAGCACCUCAAGUGGUCAGGAUGAUUAUUGGGCCUAAAGCAUCCGUAGCCGGCUUUGUUAGUUUUCGGUUAAAUCUAUAUGCUCAACAUAUAGGCUGCCGGGAAUACUACAAAGCUAGGGAGUGGGAGAGGUAGACGGUACUCCGUAGGAAGGGGUAAAAUCCUUUGAUCUAUGGAUGACCACCUGUGGCGAAGGCGGUCUACCAGAACACGUCCGACGGUGAGGGAUGAAAGCUGGGGGAGCAAACCGGAUUAGAUACCCGGGUAGUCCCAGCUGUAAACUAUGCAAACUCAGUGAUGCAUUGGCUUGUGGCCAGUGCAGUGCCGCAGGGAAGCCGUUAAGUUUGCCGCCUGGGAAGUACGUACGCAAGUAUGAAACUUAAAGGAAUUGGCGGGGGAGCACCACAAGGGGUGAAGCCUGCGGUUCAAUUGGAUUCAACGCCGGG
RNAcentral lists this ribosomal RNA (800 nucleotides) under uncultured crenarchaeote. Its description in RNAcentral is "bacterial SSU rRNA". It matches the Rfam family "Archaeal small subunit ribosomal RNA", at positions 120 to 922 of the family's 1478-position model. Lineage: Archaea; Thermoproteati; Thermoproteota. The record is from RNAcentral.